UUCACCGUGUUCAAACACGGUGAAUGGUUCACCGUGUCUAAACACGGUGAACUGUUCACCGUCUCUAAACACGGUGAAUGGUUCACCGUGUCCAAUGUAUUAUAUAUACAUCACUUGGCCUUGCGUCCAAGCCAGAGGGAGAGAGCCCGUCUGUAUAAUACAUGAAAGAGGGGGGAACCAAUCACCGUGUCUUUAACACGGUGAAUGGUUCACCGUGUCUAAACAUGGUGUUCACCGUGUUCAAUAGCACUACCAGCACUUAGCCAUUUUUCUUAGCGCAAAAAACCAGAUCAACAGUACAAUACAACAUCACAACGAGAUCAUCACAACAGUACAAUACACCAUCACAACGCAACAACAAAUUCAAUGCAACAAUAUAAGUAAUUCAGCAUUAACAAUACAACAACAAAUCCGACAGAAUAUCAAUAAAGCAUCAAUACCAGAUAAUCACAACAGAAUAUUAAAAAUUAAAACAAGUUUUUCAAUAAUAUAGAAAUAUAGUAUCAUGUUCUCCUCCUACUCCCUCGACCACGUCGCCUACCACGUCCGCGACCACGAUCAACACCAUGCUCAUCAAAAGGCUCUAAGAUCUCCAACUGGUCGAGAUACUCGAUAGCAGCACCCUCAAUAACCGGCUGAGUGUCCUGCGUCUCGAUCACCCAUCCGAUCUCGUGCUCAAUCAUAGCAGGUGUCGGUAGUAUGUCUGGCCGUGGAGGAGCUAAAGAGGAGGGUUGAUCUGUAUGAAGAUACCGCAUUUGUCGUCGGCGCCUAUGAUAAACAAUAUCAACUGGCCGAGGUGAAUCCUCUGGUACUGGUGCUGG
RNAcentral lists this long non-coding RNA (821 nucleotides) under Ananas comosus (pineapple). RNAcentral describes it as "long non-coding RNA (ACOM_LNC029241)". Lineage: Eukaryota; Viridiplantae; Streptophyta; Magnoliopsida; Poales; Bromeliaceae. The record is from RNAcentral.